UACGAAGGGGGCGAGCGUUGUUCGGAGUUACUGGGCGUAAAGGGCGCGUAGGCGGCGCUCCAAGUUAGGCGUGAAAGCCCCGGGCUCAACCUGGGAAUUGCGCUUAAGACUGGAGUGCUCGAGUGCGGAAGAGGUGAGUGGAAUUCCCAGUGUAGAGGUGAAAUUCGUAGAUAUUGGGAAGAACACCAGUGGCGAAGGCGGCUCACUGGUCCGCAACUGACGCUGAGGCGCGAAAGCGUGGGGAGCAAACAGGAUUAGAUACCCUGGUAGUCCACGCCGUAAACGAUGAGUGCUAGACGUUGGGGGACUCAGUCCCUUGGUGUCGCAGCUAACGCAUGAAGCACUCCGCCUGGGGAGUACGGCCGCAAGGUUAAA
RNAcentral lists this ribosomal RNA (375 nucleotides) under uncultured bacterium. RNAcentral's name for it is "bacterial SSU rRNA". It matches the Rfam family "Bacterial small subunit ribosomal RNA", at positions 524 to 898 of the family's 1533-position model. The record is from RNAcentral.